This is a long non-coding RNA of Austrofundulus limnaeus, 1484 nucleotides long. RefSeq lists it as uncharacterized. The record is from RefSeq and is a predicted model, not a curated record. The transcript has 3 exons. Lineage: Eukaryota; Metazoa; Chordata; Actinopteri; Cyprinodontiformes; Rivulidae.
CCGGGUGAGUUCAAUUUGCAGCCAAAGAUGGGGUCUGGCGCGUCUCCUGUGACGGAUUCUGAUGAUAAAAAGAUGUUUAAAACUAAAGAAGCACUUGUCUCUUUACCGAAACACUCUUACUGGCUGGACUUCUGGGUGUUUGUAAUGUUUGACAUCGCUUUAUUCCUUCUUGUGCAUUUCCUCAUCCCUUGAGGUUUGUCCCCAUGACUUUGGAGACCAGGACAUGGAGCGCAGGGUCUGUCCUGCUCUGGAGAAGGCUAACCCAGCUUUCACUGAAUUUAACGCCUUGUUACUGAAUGCCACGCUUCAAGUUUCUACAGCUGGGAUUUACGAUAUUUAAGCUUCUUGGACAUGACAUCCUGACCUUAUUAUCAGACCUCCGAGCCCCAGAAACCCUUCUCUAAGCUGUAGCUUGUGUGGGUUUCUGUUGUUUAGAAGAUACAAAUUUAAAGUAUUGAUAAAAACUCACUGCACCUUGACUAUUAUUCCCAGGGCUUAUUCACUUUUAAAUUUAUUCUAAACACCUGUAUGUUAUUUCUGUAAAUGUUUUUUUUUAUUAUUUUUAUUUAAUGUCUACAGUUUUAGUAUGCCAUUUGGUGAACAUAUCGAUCAAUGAGAAUGUACAAGAUUUAAAAGUAUAAUUGCACACCAAAAGAAAACCUUUUUUGAAGAAUUUCAAGAAAACAAGUCUUGAGGGUUUGCACAUGAACAAUUUAAGCACAAAUAAAGUGUUUUGGCUCUUUCAUCUGCUCUGUUAUGCAUAAUGGAAAUUAUUUAAUGUUUAUUUUGUAUUUUUCACAGAAUGCAUUUGCGUUUUCAAUGCACACACAUCCAAUCAUUUUCUGUUUUUUGAGAGAACUGCACUGAUGGCAAUGAACUAAUUUAUUUAUAUAAGUUUGAAGACUCUUACUUUGAAGUGUAACUGAUGCUUCCGGUAAAAUAAACUAUUAUUAGCAGCUAGCAUGCUAAGUUACGCUACUUUUUCAAACAUUUUUAAAAGUCUUUUGGUAAUAUCUACAGUAUGGAAAACGUUUGCCAGGUGAAAAACACAGAUAUAUUCCUGCCCCUGUCGUCUCUGAAGCUUAUCCCUCCUCUGAGGCUACUUUCCGCAGCGAUGUGGCAGGUGGCUCAGCGGAGAGAUGUCCUCGAUUAUGAAAAGCAGUUUGUGGCACUGGUGACAACAGCCGUGCCCGACCUGCUCAGCCCGAAGCAACGAGGCAAGCUGCUGUUUCGACUGCGAGCAAAAGCGAGUCAAAACAUUCAAAACAAAAGGGGUCCAAACAUGUGAGCCAAUAACUGGAAAAUAUUCUAGGGCCAAAAUAAUUUUAUGCAUUUCUAUUUUCCUUUUAUAUUUAAACUCUCAAAAAACAUCAACGCACACCGUUUUAAGGAAAUGACAAAAGUAUAUAAUAAUGUAGUACAGUGGUUCCCAAACUUUUUGUCUUCUGACCCACAAAAUAUCCAUGGCAAAAACUUGUGACCCC